GUGCCAGCAGCCGCGGUAAUACAGAGGUCGCGAGCGUUGUUCGGAUUUACUGGGCGUAAAGGGCGCGUAGGCGGCAUGAUGUGUCGGAUGUGAAAUCUCCGGGCUCAACCCGGAAAGUGCGUCCGAAACUAUCGUGCUCGAGUGCGGAAUGGGGAAUCGGAAUAUAGGGUGUAGCGGUGAAAUGCGUUGAUAUCCUAUAGAACACCGGAGGCGAAGGCGGAUUCCUGGUACGCAACUGACGCUGAGGCGCGAAAGUCGGGGGAGCAAACAGGAUUAGAUACCCUGGUAGUCCCGACCUUAAACGGUGCACACUCGGGGUGGGGGGAUUUCAACCCCCCCGGUCCCUCAGCUAACGCGUUAAGUGUGCCGCCUGGGGAGUACGACCGCAAGGUUAAAACUCAAAGAAAUUGACGGGGGCCCGCACAAGCAGAGGAGCAUGUGGCUUAAUUCGAUGCAACGCGAAGAACCUUACCUGGGUUUGACAUACGGAUGCACGGACCGUGAAAGCGGUCCUCCUUCGAGGGUUCCGUACAGGUGCUGCAUGGCUGUCGUCAGUUCGUGCCGUGAGGUGUUUGGUUAAGUCCCACCAACGAACGCAACCCCUUUGAGCAGUUGCCAGCGGGCGAUGCCGGGAACUCUGCUCACACUGCUGUUUCACGACAGAGGAAGGUGGGGAUGACGUCAAGUCAGUAUGGCCCUUACACCCAGGGCUGCACACGUGCUACAAUGGCCGGUACAGAGGGACGCCAAGCCGCGAGGCGGAGCCAACCCCCCAGAGCCGGCCCCAGUUCAGAUCGGGGUCUGCAACCCGACCCCGUGAAGUCGGAUUUGCUAGUAACGGCGCAUCAGCUACGGCGCCGUGAAUGCGUUCCCGGGCCUUGUACACACCGCCCGU
Molecule: ribosomal RNA, 895 nt
Filed under: uncultured equine intestinal bacterium
Lineage: Bacteria
Description: bacterial SSU rRNA
Rfam family: Bacterial small subunit ribosomal RNA
Source: RNAcentral